This 542-nucleotide ribosomal RNA is filed under the name uncultured Gammaproteobacteria bacterium. Its description in RNAcentral is "bacterial SSU rRNA". It matches the Rfam family "Bacterial small subunit ribosomal RNA", at positions 340 to 874 of the family's 1533-position model. Lineage: Bacteria; Pseudomonadati; Pseudomonadota; Gammaproteobacteria. The record is from RNAcentral.
UACGGGAGGCAGCAGUGGGGAAUAUUGGACAAUGGGGGCAACCCUGAUCCAGCCAUGCCGCGUGUGUGAAGAAGGCCUUCGGGUUGUAAAGCACUUUUGUUGGGGAAGAAACCGGCCGGGUUAAUACCCUGGUUGAAUGACGGUACCCAAAGAAUAAGCACCGGCUAACUUCGUGCCAGCAGCCGCGGUAAUACGAAGGGUGCAAGCGUUACUCGGAAUUACUGGGCGUAAAGCGUGCGUAGGCGGUUUGUUAAGUCUGCUGUGAAAGCCCUGGGCUCAACCUGGGAACUGCAGUGGAUACUGGCGAGCUAGAGUGUGUCAGAGGAUGGUGGAAUUCCCGGUGUAGCGGUGAAAUGCGUAGAGAUCGGGAGGAACACCAGUGGCGAAGGCGGCCAUCUGGGACAACACUGACGCUGAGGCACGAAAGCGUGGGGAGCAAACAGGAUUAGAUACCCUGGUAGUCCACGCCCUAAACGAUGCGAACUGGACGUUGGGCACACUUAGGUGCUCAGUGUCGAAGCUAACGCGUUAAGUCGCCGCCU